This 31-nucleotide non-coding RNA is filed under the name Rattus norvegicus (Norway rat). Lineage: Eukaryota; Metazoa; Chordata; Mammalia; Rodentia; Muridae. The record is from RNAcentral.
AAGUGGAAGGGGAANCCCUGGGUCCUGCUAA